CUUCUUUUUCUUUAGUGGUGAAGCCCUUGAUUGUGGAAGAUACAUAUCUUCUCUGCACUGCACCAGUACUUCAAGAUGAGGGAAUGGCAGCAAACCUUUAUGUCAGUAUGAACGAAGGUCUCAGUUUCAUCUCCAGUUCGGUCACCAUUACCACUGUGGGCUGUUCUGAUGGGACCAUCCUGGCCAUAGCGCUGCUCAUCCUGAUGCUGCUCCUGGUCCUGGCUCUCCUGUGGUGGUUCUGGCCUCUCUGCUGCACUG
Notothenia coriiceps (black rockcod) is the source of this 258-nucleotide long non-coding RNA. RefSeq lists it as uncharacterized. The record is from RefSeq and is a predicted model, not a curated record. The transcript is spliced from 3 exons. Lineage: Eukaryota; Metazoa; Chordata; Actinopteri; Perciformes; Nototheniidae.